RNAcentral lists this ribosomal RNA (468 nucleotides) under uncultured bacterium. Its description in RNAcentral is "partial 16S ribosomal RNA". It matches the Rfam family "Bacterial small subunit ribosomal RNA", at positions 28 to 507 of the family's 1533-position model. The record is from RNAcentral.
GACGAACGCUGGCGGCGUGCUUAACACAUGCAAGUCGAACGGAAAGGCCCUGCUUUUGUGGGGUGCUCGAGUGGCGAACGGGUGAGUAACACGUGAGUAACCUGCCCUUGACUUUGGGAUAACUUCAGGAAACUGGGGCUAAUACCGGAUAGGAGCUCCUGCUGCAUGGUGGGGGUUGGAAAGUUUCGGCGGUUGGGGAUGGACUCGCGGCUUAUCAGCUUGUUGGUGGGGUAGUGGCUUACCAAGGCUUUGACGGGUAGCCGGCCUGAGAGGGUGGCCGGCGACAUUGGGACUGAGAUACGGCGCAGACUCCUACGGGAGGCAGCAGUGGGGAAGAUGGCACAAUGGGGGGAAGCCUGAUGCAGCAACGCCGCGUGCGGGAUGACGGCCUUCGGGUUGUAAACCGCUUUCGCCUGUGACGAAGCGUGAGUGACGGUAAUGGGUAAAGAAGCACCGGCUAACUACGUG